This is a non-coding RNA of Ktedonobacter racemifer DSM 44963, 117 nucleotides long. The record is from Rfam. Lineage: Bacteria; Bacillati; Chloroflexota; Ktedonobacteria; Ktedonobacterales; Ktedonobacteraceae.
GCGAGCCGUGUGCAUGGAAAUCGUGCCCGCACGGUUCUGAGGGAGACCGUUGGAAAAGGACGCUAUUCGAUUGUUAAUGUGCAACGGAUAGAGUACCUCGCUGGCGGUCUACCCUAC